RNAcentral lists this ribosomal RNA (465 nucleotides) under uncultured bacterium. Its description in RNAcentral is "partial 16S ribosomal RNA". It matches the Rfam family "Bacterial small subunit ribosomal RNA", at positions 338 to 795 of the family's 1533-position model. The record is from RNAcentral.
CCUACGGGUGGCAGCAGUGGGGAAUAUUGCGCAAUGGGCGACAGCCUGACGCAGCGACGCCGCGUGAGGGAUGCAGGUCUUCGGAUCGUAAACCUCUGUCAGCAGGGAAGAACGGUCACUGUGCUAAUCAGCAGUGCAUUGACGGUACCUGCAAAGGAAGCACCGGCUAACUCCGUGCCAGCAGCCGCGGUAAGACGGAGGGUGCGAGCGUUAAUCGGAAUUACUGGGCGUAAAGCGCUCGUAGGCGGUAUGUCAAGUCAAGGGUGAAAUCCCCGCGCUCAACGUGGGAACUGCCUUUGAAACGGGCAAACUGGAGUGUGUGAGAGGAUAGUGGAAUUGCAGGUGUAGGAGUGAAAUCCGUAGAUAUCUGGAGGAACAUCAGUGGCGAAGGCGACUAUCUGGCACAUAACUGACGCUGAGGAGCGAAAGCGUGGGUAGCAAACAGGAUUAGAUACCCCAGUAGUC